Molecule: ribosomal RNA, 253 nt
Filed under: uncultured bacterium
Lineage: Bacteria
Description: partial 16S ribosomal RNA
Rfam family: Bacterial small subunit ribosomal RNA
Source: RNAcentral
UACGUAGGGGGCGAGCGUUAAUCGGAAUUACUGGGCGUAAAGCGCACGCAGGCGGCUGAGCAAGUCGAUUGUGAAAGCCCUGGGCUUAACCUGGGAAUUGCAGUCGAAACUACUCGGCUAGAGUAUGGGAGAGGGUAGUGGAAUUCCCGGUGUAGCGGUGAAAUGCGUAGAUAUCAGGAGGAACACCGGUGGCGAAGGCGGUUCUCUGGGCAUUACCUGACGCUGAGGAGCGAAAGUGUGGGGAGCGAACAGG